Molecule: ribosomal RNA, 253 nt
Filed under: uncultured bacterium
Lineage: Bacteria
Description: partial 16S ribosomal RNA
Rfam family: Bacterial small subunit ribosomal RNA
Source: RNAcentral
UACGAAGGGGGCUAGCGUUGUUCGGAAUUACUGGGCGUAAAGCGCACGUAGGCGGACAUUUAAGUCAGGGGUAAAAUCCCAGAGCUCAACUCUGGAACUGCCUUUGAUACUGGGUGUCUUGAGUAUGGAAGAGGUGAGUGGAAUUCCGAGUGUAGAGGUGAAAUUCGUAGAUAUUCGGAGGAACACCAGUGGCGAAGGCGGCUCACUGGUCCAUUACUGACGCUGAGGUGCGAAAGCGUGGGGAGCAAACAGG